Molecule: transfer RNA, 72 nt
Filed under: Camelus bactrianus (Bactrian camel)
Lineage: Eukaryota; Metazoa; Chordata; Mammalia; Artiodactyla; Camelidae
Also listed under: 1 other name
Rfam family: tRNA
About the family: Transfer RNA (tRNA) molecules are approximately 80 nucleotides in length. Their secondary structure includes four short double-helical elements and three loops (D, anti-codon, and T loops).
Source: Rfam by way of RNAcentral
GAGGAUAUAGCUCAGUGGUUAGAGUGCGUGCUUAGCAUGCACGAGGUCCUGGGUUCGAGCCCCAGUACCUCU